Molecule: ribosomal RNA, 499 nt
Filed under: uncultured Lactococcus sp.
Lineage: Bacteria; Bacillati; Bacillota; Bacilli; Lactobacillales; Streptococcaceae
Description: partial 16S ribosomal RNA
Source: RNAcentral
CACGUAGUUAGCCGUCCCUUUCUGGGUAGUUACCGUCACUUGAUGAGCUUUCCACUCUCACCAACGUUCUUCUCUACCAACAGAGCUUUACGAUCCGAAAACCUUCUUCACUCACGCGGCGUUGCUCGGUCAGACUUUCGUCCAUUGCCGAAGAUUCCCUACUGCUGCCUCCCGUAGGAGUUUGGGCCGUGUCUCAGUCCCAAUGUGGCCGAUCACCCUCUCAGGUCGGCUAUGUAUCAUCGCCUUGGUGAGCCUUUACCUCACCAACUAGCUAAUACAACGCGGGAUCAUCUUUGAGUGAUGCAAUUGCAUCUUUCAAACUUAAAACUUGUGUUUAAAGUUUUUAUGCGGUAUUAGCAUUCGUUUCCAAAUGUUGUCCCCCGCUCAAAGGCAGAUUCCCCACGCGUUACCCACCCGUUCGCUGCUCAUCCAGUCGGUACAAGUACCAACCUUCAGCGCUCAACUUGCAUGUAUUAGGCACGCCGCCAGCGUGUCUGAG